CCUACGGGUGGCAGCAGUAGGGAAUAUUGCUCAAUGGGGGAAACCCUGAAGCAGCAACGCCGCGUGGAGGAUGAAGGUUUUCGGAUUGUAAACUCCUUUUGUUAGAGAAGAUAAUGACGGUAUCUAACGAAUAAGCACCGGCUAACUCCGUGCCAGCAGCCGCGGUAAUACGGAGGGUGCAAGCGUUACUCGGAAUCACUGGGCGUAAAGAGCGCGUAGGCGGGAUAGCAAGUCAGAUGUGAAAUCCUAGGGGUUAAACAUAGAACUGCAUUUGAAACUGUUAUUCGAGAGUAUGGGAGAGGUAGGUGGAAUGCGUGGUGUAGGGGUAAAAUCCGUAGAGAUCAAGAGGAAUACUCAGUGCGAAGGC
RNAcentral lists this ribosomal RNA (367 nucleotides) under uncultured bacterium. RNAcentral's name for it is "partial 16S ribosomal RNA". It matches the Rfam family "Bacterial small subunit ribosomal RNA", at positions 338 to 722 of the family's 1533-position model. The record is from RNAcentral.